Molecule: non-coding RNA, 72 nt
Organism: Phthorimaea operculella (potato tuberworm)
Lineage: Eukaryota; Metazoa; Arthropoda; Insecta; Lepidoptera; Gelechiidae
Source: the annotation of a GenBank genome assembly
GCAUCGAUAGCUCAGUGGCAGAGCGGUGGGGCGUUUACCCAUGCGGCCCGGGUUCGAUCCCUGGUUGAUGCA